GUGGUGGUGGUGGUGGUGGUGGUGGUAGUAGUAGUAGUAGUAGUAGUGCUGGUAGAUGACGGAAUGUACUCGACUGGAGUCACAGAAGGAGAUAGGGAAACAACCUCAACUUCUGGGUUGUAAACUUCAUUGACUUUAUUGAGAGAAUCAUCAUCAGAAACCUCAUUUACAAUAACUAUAUCAUCUUCAUGGUAAAUUUGAUUAGAAUAUUCGUAUCCAUUGUCUUCAAUAUCAGAGGUUACUUCAACUUCGCGUGGGACUGGUAAAACUAUGACGUCUUCUGUCUGAGUAGAUACAGAGACUAAUUCAGGUCCUUGAGUCUGAGUAGUUUUUGUUUUCUUAGAUUUCUUUUUUGAACUGCAUGAAGAUGAUUCACCUUCUUCGUUCUCCUUUAAUUCUUUUUCUGCCUUAGUCUUUUUCUUAUCUUGCUUCUUUUGUUCCUUACCUUCAUUUGAUGGUUUAACAUGAUCCUUUAAACCAUUAUUAGAUGCUUCCUUCUUUUGCUGUUUCAAUAGUUUUUGUUUUUGCUUCUCUUCUUUUUGUAAUUGUUUUUGUCUCUGUUUCUCCUCUUGCUUCAACAAUUUUUGUCUCUGUUUCUCUUCUUUUUGUAAUUGUUUUUGUCUUUGCCUCUCUUCUUUUUCCAAUUGCUUUUGUCUCUGCUUCUCUUCUUUAGAUAAUUUCUGUUUCUCAUUAUCUUUGGGUAAUUUUUGUUUUUUCUUUUCUUUUUCCAAUCUCUUUUGUUCUUUCAAUCUUCUUUGUUCUUCUUUCUCCUCCUCCCUUAAUCUCUUUUGUUUCUCUUUUUCUUGUUUUUUCAAGAGUUUAGCAUCAUUGGCUUCAUUCUUGUCGGAUGAAGACUUCUUGUUUGCUUCCUUUAAUGCUUUCUUUCUCUCUUUCUCUUCUAAUUUCUGUAAUCUCUGUCUUUCCUUCUCCUGCUUAGCCAAUAGCUUCUUUUCUUUUUUCAACUUUUCCUUUUCCAAUUUCUCGAUUUUCUUAAGUUCACUCUUUGAAAGUGGUUUAGCAGUUGAAGUCUGAGUAACUAUUGGAAUUGUUUGUGUUGCAGCAUCAGUCAUACCAGUUUCCUCAGUCUGAGUACCAGUUUCCUCAGUCUGAAUACCAGAUUCAACAGGUACACAUUCUGUUGAUUCAUCAAAUAGGCAAGAGAAGCUGUUGGCCAAAUCUUCAUCAGAGCUAUUUUUGUUUACAUGUAACUCGCUAGUACAUUGAACGGAGUUUCCAGAGAAGCAAGAAC
Molecule: non-coding RNA, 1249 nt
Filed under: Cryptosporidium parvum
Lineage: Eukaryota; Apicomplexa; Conoidasida; Eucoccidiorida; Cryptosporidiidae
Source: RNAcentral